This 253-nucleotide ribosomal RNA is filed under the name uncultured bacterium. RNAcentral describes it as "partial 16S ribosomal RNA". It matches the Rfam family "Bacterial small subunit ribosomal RNA", at positions 524 to 776 of the family's 1533-position model. The record is from RNAcentral.
UACGUAGGUGGCGAGCGUUGUCCGGAUUUACUGGGCGUAAAGAGCGCGCAGGCGGUCGUUCAAGUCGCGUGUGAAAGCCCCCGGCUCAACUGGGGAGGGUCACGCGAUACUGAUCGACUCGAAGGCAGGAGAGGGUAGUGGAAUUCCCGGUGUAGUGGUGAAAUGCGUAGAUAUCGGGAGGAACACCAGUGGCGAAGGCGACUCUUUGGUCUGUAACUGACGCUGAGGCGCGAAAGCGUGGGGAGCAAACAGG